UGGCCACAUGGGGAAGCGCUGCUCCAAGUCUCCGGGACAGAAGUCGUGUUGCACGCAGGCCACUGGAGAUGGUGGAAUCAGAACUCUGGGCAGUCGGAGGCUCCAAGAGCCCUUGUAAAGACAUGUCCAUUGUGAAGUGUCCGGAAGAGCUACCCCAAGGACUAAUCGCUAAUGCUUGGGAUAGAAGAGGAAGACCUAGCAUGCAGACCUCCCCCUGCUUUCUGCCUUUCUGUCACAGUGUGUUCAUCAUACUCGAGGGCCAACAAGAUGAUCCAGCGGGUACAGGCACUUGCCACUGAGGCCAAUUUUGAUUCCUGGGUGGAACCUGGAGGGAGAGAAACCCCCCACCCCACCCCCAUGGGUUGUUCCUUGACCUCUGCACAGGAAUAAGUAACUAUAAAAACACACACCACAUCUCACUCCACUGAGUUGCCGUCAAAUACCCUGGCUACAAAGCUAGGGAACUUAGCCAUCAUUCCUUGCUGCGUUGGCACCGAGCCAAUCAGUGUUGCAUCCUAGGUCUGUGAUAGUGUCACAUGCCCCCACCCGCACCUCCCACUUUGGCCUGGAAGGUUCUGGGUGGCUCAGACAUAUAGAUGUCCUCAUGGUGACAGGUGGCAACCUGAGACUUAGGAUUUAGUCUCCCUUUCUCCCUAGGUGUAGAGGGUUCAGCCGUGUGCCCCCCACCCCCACCCCCGUGCAAGCUGACGAGACUGCCUGUCUGCCUUUCAGCUGCUGCUUCUGAACUAGACGUCCCUGUUGGGACUUUCUGUCGUUACAGAGGUUAUUAGUAUUUAUUUAAAUUUUGCUCUAACAUUGUUGUUAGGCUUUACUGUGUAUUCUCUUUGUGUUUUAACUUAACAGCCUGCACUAAUGUGAAUACCACCCAACUGUGGGGGGUCACAUCUGGAACCUUGUAACCCUGAGCUGAGCCAUUAAAUGUCAGUUAAAUUGAA
Molecule: non-coding RNA, 956 nt
Organism: Mus caroli (Ryukyu mouse)
Lineage: Eukaryota; Metazoa; Chordata; Mammalia; Rodentia; Muridae
Source: RefSeq, a predicted model, not a curated record